GGCAGAGCGCGUGUGGCGGCCGAGCACAUGGGCCCGCGGGCCGGGCGGGCUCGGGGCGGCCGGGACGAGGAGGGGCGACGACGAGCUGCGAGCAAAGAUGUGCCCCGGGACCCCCGGCACCUUCCAGUGGAUUUCCUUGCGGAAAGGAUGUUGGCGGUCCCUGUGACCUGUGGAGACACGGCCAGAUCUGCCCUCCAGCCUGAUCUUUUGGCCAGAAGGAGAUUAAAAAGAUGCCCCUCAAGAUGGCUGUGCCUGUCAGCUGCAUGGAGCUUCGUUCAAGUAUUUUCUGAGCCUGAUGGAUUUACAGUGAUCUUCAGUGGUCUGGGGAAUAACGCUGGUGGAACCAUGCACUGGAAUGACACACGCCCGGCACAUUUCAGGAUACUAAAAGUGGUUUUAAGGGAGGCUGUGGCUGAAUGCCUCAUGGAUUCUUACAGCUUGGAUGUCCAUGGGGGACGAAGGACUGCAGCUGGCUGAGAGGGUUGAGAUCUCUGUUUACUUAGAUCUCUGCCAACUUCCUUUGGGUCUCCCUAUGGAAUGUAAGACCCCGACUCUUCCUGGUGAAGCAUCUGAUGCACGUUCCAUCCGGCGCUCAGCUGGGCUUGAGAAUCCUGUUACACCUGGGAUUUAGGCACUUUCAAUCUGAAAAAAUACAUAUCCUUUCAGCACUCUGGACGGACUUGAGAACUGUCCUUACGUGACCUAAAGCUGGAGUAUUUUGAGAUUGGAGAAUUAAGAGCCAGUCUUGGUGCUCUGUGUUCACCUGGUUCAUCUGAGGAGCUGCAUCUACCCUGCCCAUGCCAUAGAUCCUGCCCUGUUUGCUUCUCCUGUUGCUGCUAGUGGACAUGAGGUAACCACAGCCUAGUUCUGUGAUAAGCUCUUCACACCUGUACCCAUAUGGACUGUGGGAGAGUUUCUCUGAUAUGGACUGUGAUGCGGAAGGACAGAAUAACGGGCUCCCAGAUUCACAAGCCCCACCAAGAGGAUCACCCCAGGAACGCUUGGAGGCUGAGGAGUUCACUGAGGCUACUGCAUCUUGAGACUCAGGAUGAAGACCCAGCUUGGGGCUGUCAAAGGUUUUUUGCAUGUCUGACACCCAUGACUCCACCUGGACCUUAUGGCUCCACCCAGAAGCAAUUCAGCCCAACAGGAGGACAGCUUCAACCCAUUACGAUUUCAUCUCUGCCCCAACCACUCAGCAGCAAGCACCUGUUACCUGUCCACCCCCACCCCUUCCCCCAAACUGCCUUUGAAAAAUCCCUAACCUAUGAGCUUUGAAUAAGAUGAGUACGAACUUCAUCGCCCACGUGGCGUGGCCGGCCUCGUGUCUAUUAAAUUCUUUUUCUACUACAA
Molecule: long non-coding RNA, 1353 nt
Filed under: Homo sapiens (human)
Lineage: Eukaryota; Metazoa; Chordata; Mammalia; Primates; Hominidae
Description: HSALNT0349985
Rfam family: Pvt1 oncogene conserved region 1 (bases 20-197)
Source: RNAcentral